AUUGAACGCUGGCGGCAUGCCUUACACAUGCAAGUCGAACGGCAGCACGGGUGCUUGCACCUGGUGGCGAGUGGCGAACGGGUGAGUAAUACAUCGGAACGUACCUUAUCGUGGGGGAUAACGCAGCGAAAGUUGCGAUAAUACCGCAUACGCCCUGAGGGGGAAAGCGGGGGACCGUAAGGCCUCGCGCGAUUAGAGCGGCCGAUGUCUGAUUAGCUUGUUGGUGAGGUAAAAGCUCACCAAGGCGAUGAUUAGUAGCUGGUCUGCGAGGACGAUCAGCCACACUGGGACUGAGACACGGCCCAGACUCCUACGGGAGGAAGCAGUGGGGAAGUUGGGACAAUGGGGGCAACCCUGAUCCAGCAAUGCCGCGUGAGUGAAGAAGGCCUUCGGGUUGUAAAGCUCUUUUGUCAGGGAAGAAACAGCAGCUCUAACACAGUCUGCGAAUGACGGUACCUGAAGAAUAAGCACCGGCUAACUACGUGCCAGCCGCCGCAGUAA
RNAcentral lists this ribosomal RNA (501 nucleotides) under uncultured bacterium. RNAcentral describes it as "partial 16S ribosomal RNA". It matches the Rfam family "Bacterial small subunit ribosomal RNA", at positions 30 to 523 of the family's 1533-position model. The record is from RNAcentral.